UGGAGGCAGCAGUAAGGAAUAUUGCACAAUGGGCGAAAGCCUGAUGCAGCAACGCCGCGUGAGUGAUGAAGGCCUUUGGGUCGUAAAGCUCUGUCCUAAGGGAAGAAAAAAAUGACGGUACCUUAGGAGGAAGCCCCGGCUAACUACGUGCCAGCAGCCGCGGUAAUACGUAGGGGGCAAGCGUUAUCCGGAAUUAUUGGGCGUAAAGAGUGCGUAGGUGGUUAUUUAAGCGCGAGGUGAAAGGCUACAGCUUAACUGUAGUAAGCCUUGCGAACUGGAUGACUUGAGUGCAGGAGAGGAAAGCGGAAUUCCUAGUGUAGCGGUGAAAUGCGUAGAUAUUAGGAGGAACACCAGUGGCGAAGGCGGCUUUCUGGACUGUAACUGACACUGAGGCACGAAAGCGUGGGGAGCAAACAGGAUUAGAUACCCUGGUAGU
This 436-nucleotide ribosomal RNA is filed under the name uncultured bacterium. RNAcentral's name for it is "bacterial SSU rRNA". It matches the Rfam family "Bacterial small subunit ribosomal RNA", at positions 343 to 794 of the family's 1533-position model. The record is from RNAcentral.